RNAcentral lists this ribosomal RNA (253 nucleotides) under uncultured bacterium. Its description in RNAcentral is "partial 16S ribosomal RNA". It matches the Rfam family "Bacterial small subunit ribosomal RNA", at positions 524 to 776 of the family's 1533-position model. The record is from RNAcentral.
UACAGAGGUCUCAAGCGUUGUUCGGAUUCAUUGGGCGUAAAGGGUGCGUAGGUGGCGAGGUAAGUCAGGUGUGAAAUCGCCCGGCUCAACUGGGCGGGGUCAGCGGAUACGGUCGAGCUUGAGCAAGCUAGGGGGUAAUGGAAUUCCCGGUGUAGUGGUGGAAUGCGUAGAUAUCGGGAGGAACACCAGUGGCGAAGGCGGUUACCUGGGGCUUUGCUGACGCUGAUGCGCGAAAGCGUGGGGAGCGAUCCGG